UUGAGUUGAGUUGAGUUGUACUAUUUUAUGAUAAUAUAUAGAAAAGUACAUAUUUUUAAUUGUUAUAGAAUUAAAAAAAAAUUAAAAAUGUGGAAUCCGCCCCAGCCCUAAUAAUUUUUUGCCCCUCUCUAUACCUACAGGCACAAAACCUGGACUCACCCUGCCCCAUUGCCACCCCUAGAUGUACCCUGAAAUAGCUUUUAUAGUAUCAUUCUUUAUUACUGCAACUGUAUAUAGGAUAAAGCAACAAAUAUUUUUAGGUUGCAGAGCCAUUUUGGCAGAUAAAUGCUUUCUAUUUGUAAUCACUCGUUUAUUUUUGAGAGUCAGUUUCAUUUA
This 336-nucleotide unclassified non-coding RNA is filed under the name Hevea brasiliensis (rubber tree). Lineage: Eukaryota; Viridiplantae; Streptophyta; Magnoliopsida; Malpighiales; Euphorbiaceae. The record is from RNAcentral.